GACGAACGCUGGCGGCGUGCUUAACACAUGCAAGUCGAGCGGGUAAGGCCCUUUCGGGGGUACACGAGCGGCGAACGGGUGAGUAACACGUGGGUGACCUGCCCUCAGCUCUGGGAUAAGCCUGGGAAACCGGGUCUAAUACCGGAUAUGACUCCAUGACACAUGUUGUGGGGUGGAAAGCCUUGUGCGGCUGAGGAUGGGCCCGCGGCCUAUCAGCUUGUUGGUGGGGNGAUGGCCUACCAAGGCGACGACGGGUAGCCGGCCUGAGAGGGCGACCGGCCGACACUGGGACUGAGACACGGCCCAGACUCCUACGGGAGGCAGCAGUGGGGAAUCUUGCGCAAUGGGCGAAAGCCUGACGCAGCGACGCCGCGUGAGGGAUGACGGCCU
This 390-nucleotide ribosomal RNA is filed under the name uncultured bacterium. RNAcentral describes it as "bacterial SSU rRNA". It matches the Rfam family "Bacterial small subunit ribosomal RNA", at positions 28 to 417 of the family's 1533-position model. The record is from RNAcentral.